Molecule: long non-coding RNA, 1362 nt
Organism: Zootermopsis nevadensis
Lineage: Eukaryota; Metazoa; Arthropoda; Insecta; Blattodea; Termopsidae
Source: RefSeq, a predicted model, not a curated record
UUGAAUACCAUUACUGCCUUUGCAAGACAAAACUUAGCAAACUUAGGCAAGAUUGGAAGAUAAUAUUAAAAAUGAUUCAUAAACAAAUAUGGUGUGAGAGUGUUUGAUUAGAUUCAUCCGGCUCAAGAAAAUCCAACACAGGAAGACCGCUUUACUGCCGAGGAAAAAACCCCGGUAUCUUUUGGAUAGACAGCUGAGUUGCAGCCGGGGACAGACCGAACACGGUGGAGGUCUCUGCUUCUGCCAGGAAUCAAACCCCUGCCGUUCAACCCGUAGACGAGUCAUUAUACUGAAUGAGCUAUGCCGUGUCCUGAGGCAGUUUCUGUUAGUCUAAUAAACACUCCAUCCAUUUAUGGCGCUAUGUGAAUAUUACGUUUGACACCAUCCGUUGUCUGAUGCAGUCCGUAUCAGAUAUUCAAGGCAUUUCGGGAGUUCAGUCGCUCAAACUUACUUUACUAGACCGGAAGCUAUGUGCUUUAAAAUGUCACGUGUUCUGUUGUCAACUGUGAUGAAACUAUGACGUCAGUUACAUAGCCUCACUGACCAGGAGUGUAAAUCCUUUCUACCGCCGGAGGGAAGUAUAAAAUGAACGGAUGAUGGGUAGGAAGUCUGUAGCAACUGAGUACAUAAAAUGUAGAAGGUGCGUGGUGAGGGUGUGAUUCAUUCUGCUACAUCCUUGGUUGACUGUUGAAAAAAAGAAAGAUUCCAAAAUGACACGUCGACGAAGAUCGGAUAAUCGGGACUCCACUGUACGAUUUUGGGAUGAGAGAAUAUGGGCUCACAAAAUCGACUAAUCUGCUCAUUUUGCCCGCAAAACAGAAAUCACGGCGAUUCAAACUCCACUUAUCGUCUCAAAGUUAAGAAAAACUAAGUUCCUUCUUUUGCAUUGAAGAAACAAAUAUUCCGGCCUGGCUAGACUCAACUGAUUCUAAAUAACUAAAGCACAGGACACACAGGACAAAUCUAAAUGCCCCGAGCGGGAUUCGAAACAGGAACCUUCAAAUGGGCAAUUUGUACGGCGCGGCCGUCGAAAUCGGCUAGCGUUAUAUUCAUACAUGCCUCGAGCAGCAUUCGAACCCGAGUUCCUUAUAUGCAUAACAUUAAUAGCGCAGUCAUAAUGAUUUUAUAAAUAAUUAGAAAUUUUACAUCUCCACAAAUUUUAAAAAAGUUCACCUAUAUUUAAUUACGGAAGAAUAAAAACACACACUUAUAACAACCUAGAGUUUCCAAGUUUUAUCUUCCCCCAGGGCUAUAAAAACAAAACGUUUUAUGCACUAUUGGUUACCUUUGCGUUCUGCAUGUCCUUCACAUCACUACCUUCUUGACUUCUUAAUUUAAAACAGUAAAAUUUUAACGAAUAUU